Molecule: transfer RNA, 69 nt
Filed under: Taphozous melanopogon (black-bearded tomb bat)
Lineage: Eukaryota; Metazoa; Chordata; Mammalia; Chiroptera; Emballonuridae
Description: tRNA-Gly
Source: RNAcentral
AUUCUUUUAGUAUCAACAAGUACAACUGACUUCCAAUCAGUAAGUUCCAGCGCCUACUGGAAAAGAAUA